This is a long non-coding RNA of Melanotaenia boesemani (Boeseman's rainbowfish), 2103 nucleotides long. RefSeq lists it as uncharacterized. Lineage: Eukaryota; Metazoa; Chordata; Actinopteri; Atheriniformes; Melanotaeniidae. The record is from RefSeq and is a predicted model, not a curated record. The transcript has 2 exons.
UGUUUGGCUGUUGCUGACCACUUGCGCUUCACAGAGGUAAGAGGAAAAGCACUUGAUAGGAUGUUCCAAGAGUGUCUUAUAAUAGAAAGUCAGUAGUAACGGACUGAGGGGAGGGACAGAGGAGGAGAAGAGAGCAGGAUUGGGGGCGGGGGAUGAUGAGCAGCCGCGAUGACAGCAGCAUCUCCGCGCUGUCUUCCUGCGCGCCUAUCGACGGGACGCACCGCCAGUUUAUACUGGGUCAAGUCCGAAAGUCCGAUGCUGAGCUGCUGGAAACUGAGUUUUAGGACUUACUUGGAUGCAGAAAGCUCUUUGCUUCAUAAAGUGCUGGAGUCACAGAAGAUCUGCGUUUAUUUGGACAAUAUUAUCCGAACCGAUUUGCUAGUUGAAAGUGGGAAAAUAAGUUGCCUAUACAGAAGUUUAAGUUCAUGGAGAAAAGACAUCAGAGGAGCUAGUUAGCGAGAAACUGCAAUGGUGAAGAAACAAGCUCUACCCUGGCUUCUCAUCUAAGACACACUUCUGAGGUCUGAUGUGACCCCUCAAGACGCUACAUCCCAGUCAACCAUGGAGCAUGAUCUAAGGAUGGGCCUGUCCUUGUGGGCCAUUGUGGCAAUUGUUUGUAACUCUGUGGUGGGUGUCCUUAUCCUCAUCCUCUUCGUUAUCCUCUAUAAAGCCUGCAAAGUGCCUUCACACCAAGAAAAAAUGCCUGUUUUUACAGCAGAGCUGGAUCAGAAGAGGGCUGAACAAAAGUACAUGCUGACUGCAGCUUGAUUAAGACUAGAGGACAUAAACCUGACAUGUAGGCAAGCUUCAACGUUGCCUACCUGUGGGGGUUCAAAAUAAUUAAAGGUAGAUUGGGACCAGCAGCUACUUGCACAAGUCAUUAUUUUUACUUUCCUUUUUGUUUCCUUUUUGUGUUACUCACUGUUUACAGCUUUUUGCCAUCAGCCCUAUCUCAUCUGUGCCAUUCAGUGGUGCUUUGACUAAACUAACUGCAUUAAGACUUGGGGCAAGACCAACAACAACAACAAGCAGGCCCAAUCCUCUUAUCUCUGCUGUGCGUCGCUGGGACUGUCCAUCUGUCAGUCAGUUUGGCUUGCUCCCCAUAAGCCAACCAUGAUAUCCUCCUCUGCUCUGUUCUUUUUCGUCUCUCCAAAUAAGACAGCUGGGUGGGCAUGGAGGAGAAAUAGCAAGUGCACAAUGCAGUGCAAUAAAGGACUUAGAGGGGUCAAAGUCAGUUGAAAGAUAUGUUUUAGAGGGAAAGACAAAAUGCUGCUAUGUAGCUGACAUACAGCUUACUUUGUACACACUGCAGAAUUAGUGACAGUGGCACAUGCAGCCUAAAGCGACAGAGAGAGCAGAGAUGCAGCUGGAGGAGGUAGCUAAGUCAAGACAGCUAGAGAUAAAGUUUGCUUUAUACUUGACAAGGAUGAUAAAGUGCAAGAGGAAGAAUUGAAAAUGGGAUGCUUUGAUGUUUUGUAACAGAAGAAGAGCACAAGGGACCCGUUUGACUGUUUCCCCAUUUGAUGCACAAGUUUCUGCUUAUUCAAAUCCAGUUCUCACAGGAUUAAAAGCAACUGCAAAAGUGUAACAGCAACAGUUUUGCUCAUGUUUCACUGUGCCUCUUUUUUAUUUGUUCAGCUCCUGUGUAGACUGAAUGGGAUAUUUAUAGAUAGCCAUCAUGCAAAAUAUCAGAAUGUUCAGAGUCUUAUAGUUCUGAGUGAGUAUUGUGUUUACGGUAGUGACUGUGCUGCAGCUACAUCGCUGCAUUUACAUUUGUUUGUCUUUUACAACUGAUCCUAUUUUGACAAAUGAAAGGGCUUUGUCAAGGAAAAGUUUUGUUUUCCUUAGGAUAAAUCUGUUGAAAUCAACUCUCAGAACAACUUGCUAUAGUCCAGUAAGAUAAUUUUUUUUUUUUUUUUUUUUGUGUUUUGAUUAGUCUUUAUUUAUUUAUUUAUCUAUUUUUUUUCUUUCUUAGCAGUUUUCUGUUUUUCACUUACGGGGAAGUAAUUUGUACUAAAAUGACUUCUUGUUUUACUUCUUAAUUAAUACGAAUAAAAAUUGUAAAGAAUUAUUGAUUAAAGAUUUAAACUGUAUUUCAAUCAA